RNAcentral lists this ribosomal RNA (410 nucleotides) under uncultured bacterium. RNAcentral describes it as "bacterial SSU rRNA". It matches the Rfam family "Bacterial small subunit ribosomal RNA", at positions 127 to 518 of the family's 1533-position model. The record is from RNAcentral.
UACCCAUGAGUUAGGAAUAACGGCUGGAAACGGUCGCUAAUACCAAAUACGCUCCGAUUUCAACUUCGGGGAAAGUGGCCUCUGCUUGCAAGCUACUGCUCGAUGGAUGAGUCCGCGUCCCAUUAGCUAGUUGGUGGGGUAACGGCCCACCAAGGCGACGGAUGGGUAGCCGGUCUGAGAGGAUGACCGGCCACACUGGGACUGGAACACGGCCCAGACUCCUACGGGAGGCAGCAGUGGGGAAUAUUGCGCAAUGGGCGAAAGCCUGACGCAGCGACGCCGCGUGAGGGGAAUGAAGGUCCUCGGAUCGUAAACCUCUGUCAGGAGGGAAGAACCGCCACGGUGCUAAUCAGCCGUGGUCUGACGGUACCUCCAAAGGAAGCACCGGCUAACUCCGUGCCAGCCGCCGC